CGCUUUGCUGUGAAGCUAGCGUUAGCCCGGGGAAUGACGACACAACGCAGCACACCUUGACGUAGAGUGAACUUUAGAGUUGCCAGCGGAAUCCGUGGGAUUUGACUCCCAGUACUGCUCGAAAUGCACGGAGGAAAAUGAGUCAACAGCAUGCAGGUGUUUUUAUCAGGGUGCCAGAGGAUCUCCAGGAUCAGGAUUAUAUCUUAUGGGGAUGCAUCAGAACUGAUCCUGGUAUCUGAUAGGUUUGAUCCGAUUAUCCUCAUUUACUUAUAAAAAAUCUUCUCAUCCAGGAUCCACAUGCCACUAUUUGAAUGUACAUCAUCACAAUCUGUACAUAUUAAUGAUAAAUGAUGGGAAUUAAAGCAAAGCAAAGUACUCCAUGUAAUAACCUCGAGUUUUUUCCCAUGGAAACUUCACUGUAACCUCAAAAAACACUGAUAGUCAAAGGCAUUAGUCAUUGCAAGGUGCCACGCAUAGUGCACGCACAACAGUAUUUGCAAUCACGUAGCAGCAAAGCAACAGUGAUGGGAGCACCUCAGUUCUGCGAUCACGGAGCACAAAGACACACAUUUCCAUUCCCCAGACUUCCCCCUUCAGGAUCUAUACUUUGUUCAUGAGUCAAGCUGAAAUUCAUGCCACCGUGUUUCUGCUGUUGCAGUUUUUAUUAAGGAUACUGUUUUAACUAUAGGGCAGAGAAAGCAUGGAGGCCAUGCAGCAACUAAUAUCAACUGAACUAAUUCUAAUGGUCCAUCAUGGUGUCUGUAUCAAUGAGUGCUCUAAACUAAAAACAACCAAAAUGGCUAUUAAAUGUUACGACACAACAUGCGUUUCACAGUUCAGAUAGCAAAAUGCAUGUCCUGAUCUGUAAUAAAAGGUAAAUUAUUA
Long non-coding RNA from Silurus meridionalis, 885 nucleotides. RefSeq lists it as uncharacterized. The record is from RefSeq and is a predicted model, not a curated record. Lineage: Eukaryota; Metazoa; Chordata; Actinopteri; Siluriformes; Siluridae. The transcript is spliced from 2 exons.